GACGAACGCUGGCGGCGUGCUUAACACAUGCAAGUCGAACGGAAAGGCCCUGCUUGCAGGGUACUCGAGUGGCGAACGGGUGAGUAACACGUGGGUGAUCUGCCCCGCACUUCGGGAUAAGCCUGGGAAACUGGGUCUAAUACCGGAUAGGAGCCAUUUUUAGCGGGAUGGUUGGAAAGUUUUUUCGGUGUAGGAUGAGCUCGCGGCCUAUCAGCUUGUUGGUGGGGUAAUGGCCUACCAAGGCGGCGACGGGUAGCCGGCCUGAGAGGGUGGACGGCCACCUUGGCACUGAGAUACGGCCCAGACGCCUACGGGAGGCAGCAGUGGGGAAGAUUGCACAAUGGGCGCCAGCCUGAUGCAGCGACGCCGCGUGGGGGAUGACGGCCUUCGGGUUGUAAACUCCUUUCGCUAGGGACGAAGCUUUUUGUGACGGUACCUAGAGAAGAAGCACCGGCUAACUACGUG
This 465-nucleotide ribosomal RNA is filed under the name uncultured bacterium. RNAcentral's name for it is "partial 16S ribosomal RNA". It matches the Rfam family "Bacterial small subunit ribosomal RNA", at positions 28 to 507 of the family's 1533-position model. The record is from RNAcentral.